CAAGUCUGACGGAGCAACGCCGCGUGAGUGACGAAGGUUUUCGGAUCGUAAAACUCUGUUGUGAGGGAAGAACACGUACCAGCUAACUACUGGUACCUUGACGGUACCUCACCAGAAAGCCACGGCUAACUACGUGCCAGCAGCCGCGGUAAUACGUAGGUGGCAAGCGUUGUCCGGAAUUAUUGGGCGUAAAGCGCGCGCAGGCGGUCCCUUAAGUCUGAUGUGAAAGCCCACGGCUCAACCGUGGAGGGUCAUUGGAAACUGGGGGACUUGAGUGCAGAAGAGGAAAGUGGAAUUCCACGUGUAGCGGUGAAAUGCGUAGAGAUGUGGAGGAACACCAGUGGCGAAGGCGACUUUCUGGUCUGUAACUGACGCUGAGGCGCGAAAGCGUGGGGAGCAAACAGGAUUAGAUACCCUGGUAGUCCACGCCGUAAACGAUGAGUGCUAAGUGUUAGGGGGUUUCCGCCCCUUAGUGCUGCAGCUAACGCAUUAAGCACUCCGCCUG
RNAcentral lists this ribosomal RNA (505 nucleotides) under uncultured Planomicrobium sp. Its description in RNAcentral is "bacterial SSU rRNA". It matches the Rfam family "Bacterial small subunit ribosomal RNA", at positions 378 to 875 of the family's 1533-position model. Lineage: Bacteria; Bacillati; Bacillota; Bacilli; Caryophanales; Caryophanaceae. The record is from RNAcentral.